UCCUGAUCCAGCCAUGCCGCGUUGCAGGAAGAACAGUCCUAUGGAUUGUAAACUUGCUUUUAUACANGGAAGAAAAAAUCUGACUUGUAGAAUAUUGACGGUACUGUAUGAAUAAGAAUCGGCUAACUCCGUGCCAGCAGCCGCGGUAAUACGGAGGAUUCGAGCGUUAUCCGGAAUCAUUGGGUUUAAAGGGUUCGUAGGCGGGACAAUAAGUCAGUGGUGAAAGUUUGUGGCUCAACCAUAAAAUUGCCAUUGAUACUGUUGUUCUUGAGUUAUUGUGAAGUGGUUAGAAUGUGUAGUGUAGCGGUGAAAUGCAUAGAUAUUACACAGAACACCAAUUGCGAAGGCUUAUCACUAACAAUAUACUGACGCUGAUGAACGAAAGCGUAGGUAGCCAACAGGAUUAGAUACCCUGGUAGUCUACGCUGUAAACUAUGGUUACUAGCUGUUCGGAGCACAUUAGUGCACUGAGUGGUUAAGCGAAAGUGAUAAGUAACCCACCUGGGAAGUACGUUUGCCAGAAUUGGAAACUCAAAUGAAUUGACGG
Molecule: ribosomal RNA, 547 nt
Filed under: uncultured Bacteroidota bacterium
Lineage: Bacteria; Pseudomonadati; Bacteroidota
Description: bacterial SSU rRNA
Rfam family: Bacterial small subunit ribosomal RNA
Source: RNAcentral